RNAcentral lists this ribosomal RNA (478 nucleotides) under uncultured bacterium. Its description in RNAcentral is "partial 16S ribosomal RNA". It matches the Rfam family "Bacterial small subunit ribosomal RNA", at positions 28 to 523 of the family's 1533-position model. The record is from RNAcentral.
GACGAACGCUGGCGGCGUGCUUAACACAUGCAAGUCGAACGGUAAGGCCCUUCGGGGUACACGAGUGGCGAACGGGUGAGUAACACGUGGGUGAUCUGCCCUGCACUCUGGGAUAAGCCGGGGAAACUGGGUCUAAUACCGGAUAUGAGCUCCUUUCGCAUGGCGGGGGUUGGAAAGGUUUACUGGUGCAGGAUGGGCCCGCGGCCUAUCAGCUUGUUGGUGGGGUAAUGGCCUACCAAGGCGACGACGGGUAGCCGGCCUGAGAGGGCGACCGGCCACACUGGGACUGAGACACGGCCCAGACUCCUACGGGAGGCAGCAGUGGGGAAUAUUGCACAAUGGGCGAAAGCCUGAUGCAGCGACGCCGCGUGAGGGAUGACGGCCUUCGGGUUGUAAACCUCUUUCAGCAGGGACGAAGCGAGAGUGACGGUACCUGCAGAAGAAGCACCGGCCAACUACGUGCCAGCAGCCGCGGUAA